CCUACGGGUGGCAGCAGUGGGGAAUAUUGCACAAUGGGCGAAACCCUGAUGCAGCGACGCCGCGUGAGUGAAGAAGUAUUUCGGUAUGUAAAGCUCUAUUAGCAGGGAAGAAAAUGACGGUACCUGAUUAAGAAGCUCCGUCUAACUACGUGCCAGCAGCCGCGGUAAUACGUAGGGGGCAGGCGUUAUCCGGAUUUACUGGGUGUAAAGGGAGCGUAGACGGCAGGACAAGUCUGGAGUGAAAUGCCGGGGCUUAACCACGGAACUGCGUUGGAAACUGUGCAGCUAGAGUGCAGGAGAGGUAAGUGGAAUUCGUGGUGUAGCGGUGAAAUGCGUAGAUAUUAGGAGGAACACCGGUGGCGAAGGCAGCAUACGGGAGUGUAACUGACGUUGAGGCUCGAAGGCGUGGGGAGCGAACAGGAUUAGAUACCCCAGUAGUC
Molecule: ribosomal RNA, 440 nt
Filed under: uncultured bacterium
Lineage: Bacteria
Description: partial 16S ribosomal RNA
Rfam family: Bacterial small subunit ribosomal RNA
Source: RNAcentral